This 1536-nucleotide long non-coding RNA is filed under the name Mus musculus (house mouse). RNAcentral describes it as "predicted gene 10837". The record is from RNAcentral. Lineage: Eukaryota; Metazoa; Chordata; Mammalia; Rodentia; Muridae.
AUUUUCAUCAGCGGCUGGUAGCUCGCUCCCGACUGCUCCUCUGUGCAGAACCGACGGCUUUCCAGCUUUCAACUCUGGAAGUGAGGCAAGACGGAAUCCUCCAUCACACUUCCUUCUGGGAGCCUUAGAUGCUACCGCGGAGAGCCCGGCUCGCUCGAGGGCAUCUAAACUGUCCUUUGACAGGGGGCAUUCGAGAACCGAAAGGUUCUGGGUCCGCGCACCUGAGCCGCGCAGCGCAGCGAGGGCGGGGGCUGGAGGAGGUCGGUGCUCGGCUGGAGGUGGGCGGGGCAGGUGCGCGGCUCCCUGCGGCCCGCGGGGUGCAGCCCAGCCUUCCCGCCCCGCCAGGAGGGCUCCGCGCUCCUUCCUCGCCCUACCGCGCUUCGCAGCUGCCGGACCCCAGGGACAGGGGAGCAAGCAACUCUCAUCAACUCCUCAGGACUAAACAAUGGCCAAGGCUGGGGCGCCCUACACAAGGCCCCAGGCUGGGCAGACUUGGUUUGCUUUCUGCAAUCGGGGCCUGGAAGUGGAGGCUUGUGGAGGGAUGGUCAGACUCACUUCGAGCCUAAAGGCUUGCAUUUUCAUUGCUCCUGGCAACUAGCGAGGCUACCUUGUCUGCGUUUCUGGGACCAAGCUCCAUGUGGGACAAGCCACAUACAACCCUCUGAGGUGCACCCUGAAGACCAGAGAGCACAGGCAUGGGUGAAGCCUGGAGCUUUGGAGUCUUUGUGAGGGCUUGUUGGGCCUACCGUCAUGGUUAGAAUCCAGGAGAACACUGCCAGAAGCAGACCAGAGAUAGGGACUGUCCACAUGGAACCCUCAGGCCCAGAAUGAGUUAUUUAAGCUCCUCCUGGUGUUUAAAGAGGUUUUUCAGUUUUAAAGAACGUUGUAAAAAAAAUAUCAGCUCUUAAAAAAAAUGAGCUCUUCCUCAUUACAUGCUUCCCCACCCCUCAGCUAGACAUGCACUGUUUCCUGAGACGGAGGAGUGUUCAAACAUGUGUCGUCUUUUAAAAAUAAUACGAAUUCAUAAAGAGGAGGAGGAAGAAGAGUAGGAGAAGAAAGAGAAAAUUUAACUGAUACCUGAAGUAUUCACCACUCCUUCAUUUAACUGUGCAGCUGUUUUUAACUGUGGGCUCCCAGGGAAGAGACUUCUCUGAGAUGCUGGUACCUUAUAGAGCGCUUUGCUUUCCGUUGGCUCCUUGUAGUCAUCCCUAAUUAGAAAUGCCUCAGAGGAGCCUUUAUCCAGCCCAUAAAGGAAGAUCAAGUGUCCGCACAGUAUAUAUUAAUAUAGGGUCCAUACUCAGUAAUUUGGAAUUGUGUUUCUUCUUUCAACUUUUUCCUUUAUGUCCUUUUUUUCCCUUCAAACACUUGUUGCCUGUGACACUGCUCUGACCUUCGCUCCUCCUUUUCAGGAUGUUAGGAUGAAUGCUUGCUUCUUCUGGCAAAAAGACAGUAGGAAAGAUAAAGUGUGGGCUUUCAUUUUGGAUCUGGAUUACCAAACCACUUACAUUUCUGUAUUCAUUUUCUUUCCAGAAAAGC